AAAGUCUCAAAUUACUCAAAAAGAAAAAUAUGGUAAUUGGACUCCCACACAUAAAUGUGGAAAGUAAAAUUUGUGAUGGUUGUAUUUUUGGAAAAAUGCAUAGACUACCCUUCACAAAAACCUCAUGGAGAGGUAGAGUUCCUUUGGAACUAGUUCAUGCCGAUGUAUGUGGCCCAACUAAGACACCUUCUCUCGGAGGAAAAAGAUAUUUUCUCUUGUUUGUUGAUGAUUAUAGUCGAAUGAUGUGGGNNNNNNNNNNNNNNNNNGAAAAGUCUCAAAUUACUCAAAAAGAAAAAUAUGGUAAUUGGACUCCCACACAUAAAUGUGGAAAGUAAAAUUUGUGAUGGUUGUAUUUUUGGAAAAAUGCAUAGACUACCCUUCACAAAAACCUCAUGGAGAGGUAGAGUUCCUUUGGAACUAGUUCAUGCCGAUGUAUGUGGCCCAACUAAGACACCUUCUCUCGGAGAAAAAAUAUAUUUUCUCUUGUUUGUUGAUGAUUAUAGUCGAAUGAUGUGGGUAUUUUUUCUAAAAGAAAAAUCAGAAGUUUUCUCAAAGUUUGUACAAUUUAAAGCAUCAGUGGAGAAGCAAAGUGGUCAUAAGUUGAAGAUUUUGAGGACGGAUCGUGGAGGAGAAUUCACAUCCAAGGAGUUUAACGAAUUUUGCAAGGCCCAAUGAAUAAAAAAGGAGCUUACAGUCAGAUAUACUCCCCAACAAAAUGGAGUGGCAGAACGUAGAAAUCGAUCCAUAGUGGAGAUGGCACGGAGCAUGUUAAAAGGUGAACAUCUUCCAAACAAAUUCUGGACUGAAGCUGUUUAUACCUCUGUCUAUAUUUUGAACAGGUCCCCCAUGAAAGAUGUGCCAAAUAAAACUCCUUAUGAGGUAUGGUUCCAAAAGAAAGCGAAUGUAGAUUUCUUGAAGGUAUUUGGAUGCAUAGCUUAUGCAUACAUUCCUGAUCAAGUCAAAAAAGAAAAAUUUGAUGAGAAAGGAGAAAAAUUCAUCUUUAUUGGCUACAGUGAAGAAUCCAA
Molecule: long non-coding RNA, 1025 nt
Filed under: Nicotiana benthamiana
Lineage: Eukaryota; Viridiplantae; Streptophyta; Magnoliopsida; Solanales; Solanaceae
Description: long non-coding RNA (NBEN_LNC003566)
Source: RNAcentral